This 248-nucleotide ribosomal RNA is filed under the name uncultured bacterium. RNAcentral's name for it is "partial 16S ribosomal RNA". It matches the Rfam family "Bacterial small subunit ribosomal RNA", at positions 529 to 776 of the family's 1533-position model. The record is from RNAcentral.
AGGGUGCGAGCGUUGUCCGGAAUCACUGGGCGUAAAGGGCGCGUAGGUGGCCCGACAAGUCACUGGUGAAAGCUCGAUGCUCAACAUCGAGUCGGCCAGUGAUACUGUUGGGCUGGAGCACUGUAGAGGCUAAUGGAAUUCCGGGUGUAGCGGUGGAAUGCGUAGAGAUCCGGAAGAACACCGGUGGCGAAGGCGGUUAGCUGGGCAGUUGCUGACACUGAGGCGCGACAGCGUGGGGAGCAAACAGG